Perca fluviatilis (European perch) is the source of this 816-nucleotide long non-coding RNA. RefSeq lists it as uncharacterized. NCBI's taxonomy places the organism in Eukaryota, Metazoa, Chordata, Actinopteri, Perciformes, Percidae. The record is from RefSeq and is a predicted model, not a curated record. The transcript is spliced from 5 exons.
UUUACUGAAGUCCAAUGAAAGUGACGUAACGGCCCAUAUAAAUUUGACGUCGCUAGAUUAUGACGUUCUUCUUGGAGACGAUUCUUUAGCGGUCGCAUUCCCUUCUCAACAUGAGGGCGAAGUGGAGAAAGAAGCGCAUGCGCAGGCUGAAGCGUAAAAGGAGAAAGAUGAGGCAGAGGUCCAAGUAAACCGUUGUCUCCGCCAUGGCUGUGAAGGCACAUGUUGCCAGCAAACCAGGCCGGCGAGCACAGCUGAAGACCCAGGACCCUCCCGUUGUCAAGUCUGUCAGUGGUGCCCAUUUCAACCUGAGGCAACAGAGCUGCAGCAGCUGAUUCAGGACCUGCUGGAUGACGGACCUUAUUUUCGGGAUAUACUGGACUCAUUGUUCUUAAUUCCUCAACUUUUGUCUUUUGUUUAUACUGUGAUUAAAGGUUUUGGUUUCUAAAACUGCAGAUCUCGUUUUUUUUGUUUUAAAACUAGCAUUUUCAAACGUGUGUGUGUCCCCAAUGAGCACAUUUCAAGACCGGAAGCUGAUGUGGACAUCAGGUUUUAGAAGAGGUAUAACGUUUUUGAUUCCCUAUCUAGAAGGUCCAGCUUCUGACAAAACUGAUCCUGUCAGUCAUAGCAUCAGUGUACUUGGAUAAGAACUGAUGUGUCCAUGCAAAGUUCCAUCAUCUUUAACUUUGAAUUCUGAUCCUUUCUGUUUUCUCAACUCUCCUGGAGGUGCUGAUGUGUGUGCUGGCAGAGCUCCAAGAGCCUGUCUCACUGACCUUAAUUAAGUGGAGGAGGAUGUAAACAAAUAUAAGACUCAUCAUC